Molecule: ribosomal RNA, 262 nt
Filed under: uncultured soil bacterium
Lineage: Bacteria
Description: partial 16S ribosomal RNA
Rfam family: Bacterial small subunit ribosomal RNA
Source: RNAcentral
AGAACGAACGCUGGCGGCAUGCCUAAUACAUGCAAGUCGAACGAGAUCUUCGGGUCUAGUGGCGCACGGGUGCGUAACGCGUGGGAAUCUACCCUUGGGUUCGGAAUAACAGUUGGAAACGACUGCUAAUACCGGAUGAUGACGAAAGUCCAAAGAUUUAUCGCCCAAGGAUGAGCCCGCGUAGGAUUAGCUAGUUGGUGAGGUAAAGGCUCACCAGGCUACGAUCCUUAGCUGUCUGAGAGGAUGAUCAGCCACACUGGGA